UCUUCUGGAUGAGUUGCGAACGGGUGAGUAACGCGUAGGUAACCUGCCUGGUAGCGGGGGAUAACUAUUGGAAACGAUAGCUAAUACCGCAUAAGAGUAGAUGUUGCAUGACAUUUACUUAAAAGGUGCAAUUGCAUCACUACCAGAUGGACCUGCGUUGUAUUAGCUAGUUGGUGGGGUAACGGCUCACCAAGGCGACGAUACAUAGCCGACCUGAGAGGGUGAUCGGCCACACUGGGACUGAGACACGGCCCAGACUCCUACGGGAGGCAGCAGUAGGGAAUCUUCGGCAAUGGACGGAAGUCUGACCGAGCAACGCCGCGUGAGUGAAGAAGGUUUUCGGAUCGUAAAGCUCUGUUGUAAGAGAAGAACGAGUGUGAGAGUGGAAAGUUCACACUGUGACGGUAUCUUACCAGAAAGGGACGGCUAACUACGUGCCAGCAGCCGCGGUAAUACGUAGGUCCCGAGCGUUGUCCGGAUUUAUUGGGCGUAAAGCGAGCGCAGGCGGUUAGAUAAGUCUGAAGUUAAAGGCUGUGGCUUAACCAUAGUACGCUUUGGAAACUGUUUAACUUGAGUGCAAGAGGGGAGAGUGGAAUUCCAUGUGUAGCGGUGAAAUGCGUAGAUAUAUGGAGGAACACCGGUGGCGAAAGCGGCUCUCUGGCUUGUAACUGACGCUGAGGCUCGAAAGCGUG
This 692-nucleotide ribosomal RNA is filed under the name Streptococcus mitis. Its description in RNAcentral is "bacterial SSU rRNA". It matches the Rfam family "Bacterial small subunit ribosomal RNA", at positions 83 to 763 of the family's 1533-position model. Lineage: Bacteria; Bacillati; Bacillota; Bacilli; Lactobacillales; Streptococcaceae. The record is from RNAcentral.